AUAAUGAACCACCUUAGGGUCGAGUCUUUGCUAGCUUGCUGGUAUUGAUUCCUCUAGGGUAUAAACCACUGUGCACCGUAAUGUUUUUUGGGAGAUUGUGUGAUAGGGUAAAACCGGUCCUGCUCUCAGCAUAUCAACAAACCUAUUUAAUUUUUCUGAUUUUUUUCGUAAUGAAAAUAAAAA
Molecule: unclassified non-coding RNA, 183 nt
Filed under: uncultured fungus
Lineage: Eukaryota; Fungi
Description: sequence contains ITS1, 5.8S rRNA gene
Source: RNAcentral